Molecule: ribosomal RNA, 591 nt
Filed under: Clostridioides difficile
Lineage: Bacteria; Bacillati; Bacillota; Clostridia; Peptostreptococcales; Peptostreptococcaceae
Description: partial 23S ribosomal RNA
Rfam family: Bacterial large subunit ribosomal RNA
Source: RNAcentral
AAUCGAAGCAGUGAACUUAAGCCCCAGUAAACGGCGGCCGUAACUAUAACGGUCCUAAGGUAGCGAAAUUCCUUGUCGGGUAAGUUCCGACCCGCACGAAAGGCGUAACGAUUUGGGCACUGUCUCAACAACAGACUCGGUGAAAUUGUAAUUCCGGUGAAGAUGCCGGAUACCUGCGACAGGACGGAAAGACCCCAUGGAGCUUUACUGUAGCUUGACAUUGGGUCUUGGUACUACAUGUACAGGAUAGGUGGGAGGCUUUGAAACCAGGACGCCAGUUUUGGCGGAGCCAUCCUUGGGAUACCACCCUUGUAGUACUGGGACUCUAACCAUAGGCCAUGAAUCUGGUCUUGGGACACUGUCAGGUGGGCAGUUUGACUGGGGCGGUCGCCUCCCAAAAGGUAACGGAGGCGCUCAAAGGUUCUCUCAGUACGGUCGGAAAUCGUACGUAGAGUGUAAAGGCAAAAGAGAGCUUGAUUGCAAGACAUACAGGUCGAGCAAGGAUGAAAAUCGGACUUAGUGAUCCGGUGGUUCUGCGUGGAAGGGCCAUCGCUCAACGGAUAAAAGCUACCCUGGGGAUAACAGGCUUAU